GGCUUCGUGGUCGGGUGGUAAGGUCACUUGCCUCGCAUCCUGGAGUCCCGGGUUCGAUCCCCGAUCGAGGAGCUA
RNAcentral lists this transfer RNA (75 nucleotides) under Rhamnusium bicolor. RNAcentral's name for it is "tRNA-OTHER". Lineage: Eukaryota; Metazoa; Arthropoda; Insecta; Coleoptera; Cerambycidae. The record is from RNAcentral.